CGCGACCAGGAGGGGUAAAGAAAGGGUGAAACCCUACUUGUUCAAUCAAGGUCAAAAUUCAGCAAAUUAAUGGUGGUUCUUGACACAAAUCGAAUGCAUGAGACUGGAUACAACUUAAUCUAAGUAUAUUGAUCAUAAGCAUGAAUAGGAAUCACAUUAGCAAGGACUCGAAAGCGGAAGGUUAACGGGUCAAACAGAGGCGAGGAAACAAGCGUGAACACUAACGCUCGAGGUAAGUGACUUUCGAUUCACUUCUUAGUAUACAUAUAGAGUUUUCUUGUUAUGGUUGAAUGGGAUGAUUGAUGUAUAUAAAAUGGCCGACAAGUAGGUAUGUAUGAAUGCAUUUAGGAAAAUUACGUAAGUACAUGCACGUGUGAGCUAAGGUAUGCACGGGUAUAGUUAUGAUUCAUUUUAUGAAUGUAUGUAAGUAUGGAGUUAUGUAUGCAUGUAUGUAUAUAUGUAGGUAUUGGUGUAUGUAUGUACGUAAGUAGUUAUGUAUGAGCAUGAGCAUUAUGUAUUUGAAUAUGAAAGUACAUACGUGUGUAGGUACGAACGUAUAUAUAUAUAUGUGGAUGCAAGUAAGUAUGUAUGUAUGUAUGUGAGUAGGUAUGUGUGUAUGUAGUUAUGUAUGUAUGUAUGUAAAUACAUAUGCGAAGAUGUAAUCAUGUAUGUAUGUAAUUAGAUACGUGGGUAUGCAAGUAAAGGUAUGUAUGUAUGUAGAUGUGUAUUAUGCAUAUGCGAAGAUACGUAGGUAUAUAUGAAUGUAUGUAGAGAAGUAGUAAUGCAUGCGCGAAUGUAGAUAUGGGGUUGGUAUAGAAGAAGGUACGUAUGAGUAUAUGCAGGUAUGUAGAAAUAUAGGAGGACAUGUACGUAUGUAGACGCAUAUGUAUACAUGUAAACAUGUACAUGUGCAUGAUUUAGAUACGUAGAAUUUUAAUGUUACUAAUUAUGCGUGUGAGGUUGGUAUGUGAUGCAGGAACAAGUACACCGGAUUCUUACGGAACUUAAACCGAACCCGGAAUAAGAGGAUGAGGAAGAAUAAUUGGAUGAAUUAAUGUUAAAUUAACGAACGUUAUUCAAUCUUUAAUUACAUGAGAUUAAUGUUAUAUGAUGUUGCCUUUGACUAAUGGUUAAGUUGUAUGUGAUGCCCACAGGUGUUACACGGACUUCUUCUGCUGCUAUGGAAGUGAAGCGGACGUAGAUCGAGUCAAGAGCAAGGAUUGUACGGAUAGAUUGGUCACAUAGUUGAAGUAUAUAACGUUUGGAAAUCUAAAUUUUAGUAUGAAUGUUGUAAAAUUCUUUUAUAGUACGUUUAACAUUUUUAGGAUUUGGAUCCUUCGUGAACGAAAUGUUGUUAAUACGGAAGAAAAUUU
This 1373-nucleotide long non-coding RNA is filed under the name Helianthus annuus (common sunflower). RNAcentral's name for it is "hypothetical non coding rna". The record is from RNAcentral. Lineage: Eukaryota; Viridiplantae; Streptophyta; Magnoliopsida; Asterales; Asteraceae.